RNAcentral lists this ribosomal RNA (740 nucleotides) under uncultured Mycobacterium sp. RNAcentral describes it as "bacterial SSU rRNA". It matches the Rfam family "Bacterial small subunit ribosomal RNA", at positions 563 to 1301 of the family's 1533-position model. The record is from RNAcentral. Lineage: Bacteria; Bacillati; Actinomycetota; Actinomycetes; Mycobacteriales; Mycobacteriaceae.
AAGAGCUCGUAGGUGGUUUGUCGCGUUGUUCGUGAAAUCUCACGGCUUAACUGUGAGCGUGCGGGCGAUACGGGCAGACUUGAGUACUGCAGGGGAGACUGGAAUUCCUGGUGUAGCGGUGGAAUGCGCAGAUAUCAGGAGGAACACCGGUGGCGAAGGCGGGUCUCUGGGCAGUAACUGACGCUGAGGAGCGAAAGCGUGGGGAGCGAACAGGAUUAGAUACCCUGGUAGUCCACGCCGUAAACGGUGGGUACUAGGUGUGGGUUUCCUUCCUUGGGAUCCGUGCCGUAGCUAACGCAUUAAGUACCCCGCCUGGGGAGUACGGCCGCAAGGCUAAAACUCAAAGAAAUUGACGGGGGCCCGCACAAGCGGCGGAGCAUGUGGAUUAAUUCGAUGCAACGCGAAGAACCUUACCUGGGUUUGACAUGCACAGGACGCCGGCAGAGAUGUCGGUUCCCUUGUGGCCUGUGUGCAGGUGGUGCAUGGCUGUCGUCAGCUCGUGUCGUGAGAUGUUGGGUUAAGUCCCGCAACGAGCGCAACCCUUGUCUCAUGUUGCCAGCGGGUAAUGCCGGGGACUCGUGAGAGACUGCCGGGGUCAACUCGGAGGAAGGUGGGGAUGACGUCAAGUCAUCAUGCCCCUUAUGUCCAGGGCUUCACACAUGCUACAAUGGCCGGUACAAAGGGCUGCGAUGCCGCGAGGUUAAGCGAAUCCUUUUAAAGCCGGUCUCAGUUCGGAUCGG